AUUUUCUCCAAUUUUCUCUCCGAAUUAUCCCGUUUCCCAACCUGGAGACGUGGAGGUGCAUCGCCACGAUGUUUUUUUGUGCUGCUCCAGCAGGUGGGCAGCACGCGGUGCGAGGCGGGGAGCUGCCAUCCCAGGCUGUGUUGCAGCAGAGCAGGGAAAGGCAGCCCUGGGGAUGGACGGGACCAUCCAAACCCAACUGCCCUCUCAUCCCUGAAGCCCCCUCGCCCCCAAGGAGAGCAGAGCCAGGCUGCCAGGCCCUCCACGCACACGCUGUGCUCCCGAGGGUGCUGAGCAGGCUGCACGGGGCUGCCAGCAAGCCUGGCCGCACCAUUCCCCUGAGUCACGCCUGCUGCCUGCCCAAGCGUGCCCCCAGCGCGGCUCUUCCCCUUCUUUCCUUCCUCUUUCCCCUCACAAAGGGUUUUUCCAGCGUGUUGUUAAAAAAAAAAAAAAGAAGCCACACAUCCAGCUGUCAGAGCUCGGCUUUUCAUUCCGGCCGAGACAACGCCAGCUUUUUCUCCUCCCGCUCCGCAGCGAGCUGGCGGCGAGCCUGGGAAAGAGGCACUGACUUUGCAAGCCCGUGCCUGCUGGAGCAUAAUAAGGUCAUUGUCGAGAAGACGCGGCACCAGGAGGCUGAUCUGGAGCGCACCACGGCCCCGGUGGAGAGUUGUGCAAGCCCCGUGGCCGCGCCAACACUGGCCCCAUUGUUUGCCGCCGGGAGCCGACAAGCCGGUUCCUGCGGAGCCGCUGCAGACGGCGAUCAAAUGUGCGUCGUCGCCGGCUAUCAGGACGCGCUGUGCCAAAUUAGCUGCCUCCCAAAUGGCAGGACACCCACGUCCCAUCACUUCGCACGAGGUCUUGACGGGGCGAAGCUCCUCGAGGCUCCUGGCCCUGCGGCGUGGCGAAGCGUCGGGGGCAGAGCGAGCGCUGGAGAGGCCCCGCCGAGACCCGUUGGGAGCAGGAACCUGGGUGCUGGGAUGUCUGAAACCACAUCCUGCUUGCAUAUCCACGUGCUGGCGGCUGCCUUGCCAGGGCUCCUCAGCUUGCUGAGGGCAAAACCCCCGGGGGAGAGGGCUGGUGGGGAGAGGGGGGCUGCGGGAGCAGCGCUUGGGGCGUGCGGGCACGGUGCCGUGCCGAACCCCUGCUGAAAUUGCAGCCCAAGAGGGAAUAAAAGCAUGCGUGGCAAGGAAGGAGAAGCUAGG
This 1199-nucleotide long non-coding RNA is filed under the name Anas platyrhynchos platyrhynchos (common mallard). RNAcentral's name for it is "lncRNA (ENSAPLG00000025879.1)". Lineage: Eukaryota; Metazoa; Chordata; Aves; Anseriformes; Anatidae. The record is from RNAcentral.